This 334-nucleotide unclassified non-coding RNA is filed under the name soil metagenome. Its description in RNAcentral is "partial contains 5.8S ribosomal RNA, internal transcribed spacer 2, and large subunit ribosomal RNA". The stretch from base 1 to 120 matches the Rfam family "5.8S ribosomal RNA", at positions 35 to 154 of the family's 154-position model. The record is from RNAcentral.
GAUGAAGAACGUAGCGAAAUGCGAUAAGUAAUGUGAAUUGCAGAAUUCAGUGAAUCAUCGAAUCUUUGAACGCACAUUGCGCCCGCUAGUAUUCUGGCGGGCAUGCCUGUUCGAGCGUCAUUUCAACCAUCAAGCCCUGCUUGUGUUGGGGUCCUGCGGCUGCCCGCAGGCCCUGAAAACCAGUGGCGGGCUCGCUAGUCACACCGAGCGCAGUAGCACAUCUCGCUCAGGGCGUGCGGCGGGUUCUUGCCGUAAAACACCCCCUUUUUACCAAGGUUGACCUCGGAUCAGGUAGGAAUACCCGCUGAACUUAAGCAUAUCAAUAAGCGGAGGA